CGAUUUGAGAUCUAGUGGCUGCAGAGAGAGGUGCGAUCAAUUUGCGAAUUAACGCCUGCAUUAGCCUUAGUAAUCCUUGAUUUUUUUUUUCAAAUUACCCCCUCCCCAAAUCUGCUCUCGCAUCCAGUCCUCGUGACCCAGAAGUCGUCCUCGCAACCCUACGACUCAUCCACCGCCGCUGAUCCAGCCGGUCGCCGGAGGAGCCUGCAAGAGGAGCGCCCCCAGAGGAGUAGCCGCGCCGCAGGAGGAGUAGCUCACGCCGCCUGACCGCCCAGCCGGAGGAGCGCCGCCGGAGGAGCCACCCUGCAGGAGGAGCAUCGCUGGAGGAGGAGCCAACCCCUUACGCUCUUUUCCACCACGUCCGCUGUGCCGGUCCGGAGUCGGGCCCGCCCAGCAACGCCCGCAUACAGGAGAAGCACUACAUCAUGGCCACCAUGCUCAGAGUUGUUUUUCAGAGAGAUGCAGCUAGUUUGUGAUCUGUGUGCUUCAGAGUUGUUUGAUGCAGCUAGCUUCAGAGAUGUUUCUCGGCUUCAGAGUUUGCAGGUUCUAUGUGCUGGGUGCUAUGUAAUGCCAAUGGCAAUUGUGCCUUCUGUGUGCCUGUGUGUAAUAUCUUGUAUUGUCUGAAGAUUGAAAAAAUAUUGAGAGUACAGACAGUGUAAGGCCAAUAGCAAUUGUGCCUUCUGUGUGUAUAUGUGUACUGUGUGGAUGAAUUUGCAAUGGAAUGAACUGAAAUCGUGUCUAUGGUGAUCUCAAA
RNAcentral lists this long non-coding RNA (754 nucleotides) under Sorghum bicolor (sorghum). Its description in RNAcentral is "long non-coding RNA (SBIC_LNC017138)". The record is from RNAcentral. Lineage: Eukaryota; Viridiplantae; Streptophyta; Magnoliopsida; Poales; Poaceae.